Danio rerio (zebrafish) is the source of this 601-nucleotide non-coding RNA. Lineage: Eukaryota; Metazoa; Chordata; Actinopteri; Cypriniformes; Danionidae. The record is from Ensembl.
CGGGCCGACAUGCUGUACGCGUGCCUCAGCUUGGCCGAACAAGGGCCCUGUCUUUUCGUAACCGGUGCUGUCUCAUUCUCAUCCGCCAUGUUUAACCAGGAAGUGAGGAUCUCGCCCUGCGCUCUCACACCCCGCAAAACCAUUGGUGGACUGCCGCAAAGCCCGACGGUGGUCUCACUGUGAAGAGUUCCAGCACCUCGAGAGCCCGGCUCAGGGGCUUUUCCUUCGGUAAGGUACUUGCGGAAAGAAACCUUUCCAGAAAUCAUGACAAAAUCAUCAGGCCUUGCCUAUCCUCUCAGAAACGGUUUUAAUAUGAACUCCUCGCCGUACCACCUUGACAUGGAUGAAGAGGGUGGCAGGAGAAAGAGUGGAGCCGUCAGCUUUCAGCAGGUGGACGUGACGAUAACCUGAAAAAUAUCACAAUAACAAACAUGGAAGAAAAAUGUAGUUAAGUAAUAUGUGCCUUACAAAAAUUAACCAUGGAUUUUUUUUUUUUUUUUUUAAAUAGAAGUAAUCAUGGUUUUUGAGUUAACUAUGGUUUAACUACAUAAUCCAUGUAGUGUUUUUAAGGGGUACCAAAUAAAUCACAAUUUAAAACUUG